This 24-nucleotide non-coding RNA is filed under the name Arabidopsis thaliana (thale cress). The record is from RNAcentral. Lineage: Eukaryota; Viridiplantae; Streptophyta; Magnoliopsida; Brassicales; Brassicaceae.
UGAUUACCUGAUACCGGGGGACAA